RNAcentral lists this ribosomal RNA (467 nucleotides) under uncultured bacterium. RNAcentral's name for it is "partial 16S ribosomal RNA". It matches the Rfam family "Bacterial small subunit ribosomal RNA", at positions 28 to 506 of the family's 1533-position model. The record is from RNAcentral.
GACGAACGCUGGCGGCGUGCUUAACACAUGCGAGUCGAACGGAAAGGCCCUGCUUUUGUGGGGUGCUCGAGUGGCGAACGGGUGAGUAACACGUGAGUAACCUGCCCUUGACUUUGGGAUAACUUCAGGAAACUGGGGCUAAUACCGGAUAGGAGCUCCUGCUGCAUGGUGGGGGUUGGAAAGUUUCGGCGGUUGGGGAUGGACUCGCGGCUUAUCAGCUUGUUGGUGGGGUAGUGGCUUACCAAGGCUUUGACGGGUAGCCGGCCUGAGAGGGUGACCGGCCACAUUGGGACGGAGAUACGGCCCAGACUCCUACGGGAGGCAGCAGGGGGGAAUAUGGCACAAGGGGCGGAAGCCUGAUGCAGCAACGCCGCGUGCGGGAUGACGGCCUUCGGGUUGUAAACCGCUUUCGCCUGUGACGAAGCGUGAGGGACGGUAAUGGGUAAAGAAGCACCGGCUAACUACGU